UAGCUCAGUGGUCGAGUGCAUGCUUAGCAAGCAUGAGGUCCUGGGUUCAAUUCCCCAG
This 58-nucleotide transfer RNA is filed under the name Camelus bactrianus (Bactrian camel). It matches the Rfam family "tRNA", at positions 8 to 63 of the family's 71-position model. Rfam says of the family: Transfer RNA (tRNA) molecules are approximately 80 nucleotides in length. Their secondary structure includes four short double-helical elements and three loops (D, anti-codon, and T loops). Further hydrogen bonds mediate the characteristic L-shaped molecular structure. tRNAs have two regions of fundamental functional importance: the anti-codon, which is responsible for specific mRNA codon recognition, and the 3' end, to which the tRNAs corresponding amino acid is attached (by aminoacyl-tRNA synthetases). tRNAs cope with the degeneracy of the genetic code in two manners: having more than one tRNA (with a specific anti-codon) for a particular amino acid; and 'wobble' base-pairing, i.e. permitting non-standard base-pairing at the 3rd anti-codon position. RNAcentral also lists the same sequence under 2 other names. The record is from Rfam by way of RNAcentral. Lineage: Eukaryota; Metazoa; Chordata; Mammalia; Artiodactyla; Camelidae.